This is a long non-coding RNA of Osmerus eperlanus (European smelt), 354 nucleotides long. RefSeq lists it as uncharacterized. NCBI's taxonomy places the organism in Eukaryota, Metazoa, Chordata, Actinopteri, Osmeriformes, Osmeridae. The record is from RefSeq and is a predicted model, not a curated record. The transcript is spliced from 4 exons.
GGGAAGGGACACAGUUCUCACCAGACCAGAGAACAGACCACAGUGCACAGACCACCAAUGACAUUGGGAAACCUGCUGUGCCUCUUCUUCGGUCAGUGGGCGUCUCACAGGAGCCCUGGAGAGUGCAUCAGCUGUGAUGAGCGCCUUCCCUGGCACGGCCAGUAGUGGUUUAUGGUCUGUCUCUAUCGUGAAUGAUAAGCCUAUGAGAGAGACUUCGAGAAAUGUAUGCGAUUGGACGCCACUCCAUGUGUCUCUGCAUAAGGACAGCACCCAGGCCAAAGGAUGAUGCGUCUGCAGACACUUUUGUUUUGGCUAGUGGUCUGUACUGAGCCAACACUCUCUGUGAUGCCAGCU